GAUGAACGCUGGCGGCGUGCCUAAUACAUGCAAGUCGAGCGAACAGACGAGGAGCUUGCUCCUUUGACGUUAGCGGCGGACGGGUGAGUAACACGUGGGUAACCUACCUAUAAGACUUGGAUAACUUCGGGAAACCGGAUCUAAUACCGUAUAAUAUUUCGAACCGCAUGGUUCUAUAGUGCAAGAUGGCUUUUCUAUCACUUAUAGAUGUUCCUGCGCCGUAUUAGCUAGUUGGUAAGGUAACGGCUUACCAAGGCAACGAUACGUAGCCGACCUGAGAGGGGGAUCGGCAACACUGGAAGUGAGACACGGAACAGACGACUACGGGAGGAAGCAGAAGGGAAUCUGCCGCAAUGGGCGAAAGCAUGACGGAGAAACGCCGCGUGAGUGAUGAAGGUCUUAGGAUCGUAAAACUCUGUUAUUAGGGAAGAACAAAAGUGUAAGUAACUGUGCACGUAUUGACGGUAACUAAUCAGAAAGCAACGGCUAACUACGUG
Molecule: ribosomal RNA, 497 nt
Filed under: uncultured bacterium
Lineage: Bacteria
Description: partial 16S ribosomal RNA
Rfam family: Bacterial small subunit ribosomal RNA
Source: RNAcentral